Molecule: ribosomal RNA, 508 nt
Filed under: uncultured bacterium
Lineage: Bacteria
Description: partial 16S ribosomal RNA
Rfam family: Bacterial small subunit ribosomal RNA
Source: RNAcentral
GAUGAAUGCUAGCGGCAGGCUUAAUACAUGCAAGUCGAGGGGCAGCAGGUCCCGCAGCAAUGCGGGAUGCUGGCGACCGGCAAACGGGUGCGGAACACGUACAGAACCUUCCUUUAAGUGGGGAAUAGCCCGGGGAAACCCGGAUUAAUACCCCGUAACAUAAUGAAGUGGCAUCACUUUAUUAUUAUAGCAGCAAUGCGCUUGAAGAUGGCUGUGCGGCUGAUUAGGUAGUUGGCGGGGUAACGGCCCACCAAGCCUACGAUCAGUAACUGGUGUGAGAGCACGACCAGUCAAACGGGCACUGAGACACGGGCCCGACUCCUACGGGAGGCAGCAGUAAGGGAUAUUGGGCAAUGGACGCAAGUCUGACCCAGCCAUGCCGCGUGGAGGAUGAAGGUCCUCUGGAUUGUAAACUUCUUUUAUCUGGGAAGAAAUCUAUUUUUUCUAAAGUAGUUGACGGUACCAGAUGAAUAAGCACCGGCUAACUCCGUGCCAGCAGCCGCCGUAA